RNAcentral lists this ribosomal RNA (485 nucleotides) under uncultured bacterium. RNAcentral describes it as "partial 16S ribosomal RNA". It matches the Rfam family "Bacterial small subunit ribosomal RNA", at positions 30 to 506 of the family's 1533-position model. The record is from RNAcentral.
AUUGAACGCUGGCGGCAUGCCUUACACAUGCAAGUCGAACGGCAGCACGGGUGCUUGCCCCUGGUGGCGAGUGGCGAACGGGUGAGUAAUACAUCGGAACAUGUCCUGUAGUGGGGGAUAGCCCGGCGAAAGCCGGAUUAAUACCGCAUACGAUCUACGGAUGAAAGCGGGGGACCUUCGGGCCUCGCGCUAUAGGGUUGGCCGAUGGCUGAUUAGCUAGUUGGUGGGGUAAAGGCCUACCAAGGCGACGAUCAGUAGCUGGUCUGAGAGGACGACCAGCCACACUGGGACUGAGACACGGCCCAGACUCCUACGGGAGGCAGCAGUGGGGAAUUUUGGACAAUGGGCGAAAGCCUGAUCCAGCAAUGCCGCGUGUGUGAAGAAGGCCUUCGGGUUGUAAAGCACUUUUGUCCGGAAAGAAAUCCUUGGCCCUAAUACGGUCGGGGGAUGACGGUACCGGAAGAAUAAACACCGGCGAACUACGU